This 761-nucleotide ribosomal RNA is filed under the name Prevotella melaninogenica. Its description in RNAcentral is "bacterial SSU rRNA". It matches the Rfam family "Bacterial small subunit ribosomal RNA", at positions 28 to 776 of the family's 1533-position model. Lineage: Bacteria; Pseudomonadati; Bacteroidota; Bacteroidia; Bacteroidales; Prevotellaceae. The record is from RNAcentral.
GAUGAACGCUAGCUACAGGCUUAACACAUGCAAGUCGAGGGGAAACGGCAUUUAGUGCUUGCACUGAAUGGACGUCGACCGGCGCACGGGUGAGUAACGCGUAUCCAACCUACCCAUUACUGUGUGAUAACCUGCCGAAAGGCAGACUAAUACCGCAUAGUCUUCGAUGACGGCAUCAGAUUUGAAGUAAAGAUUUAUCGGUAAUGGAUGGGGAUGCGUCUGAUUAGCUUGUUGGCGGGGUAACGGCCCACCAAGGCGACGAUCAGUAGGGGUUCUGAGAGGAAGGUCCCCCACAUUGGAACUGAGACACGGUCCAAACUCCUACGGGAGGCAGCAGUGAGGAAUAUUGGUCAAUGGACGAGAGUCUGAACCAGCCAAGUAGCGUGCAGGAUGACGGCCCUAUGGGUUGUAAACUGCUUUUGUGUGGGGAUAAAGUCAAUCACGUGUGAUUGUUUGCAGGUACCAUACGAAUAAGGACCGGCUAAUUCCGUGCCAGCAGCCGCGGUAAUACGGAAGGUCCGGGCGUUAUCCGGAUUUAUUGGGUUUAAAGGGAGCGUAGGCUGGAGAUUAAGUGUGUUGUGAAAUGUAGACGCUCAACGUCUGACUUGCAGCGCAUACUGGUUUCCUUGAGUACGCACAACGUUGGCGGAAUUCGUCGUGUAGCGGUGAAAUGCUUAGAUAUGACGAAGAACUCCGAUUGCGAAGGCAGCUGACGGGAGCGCAACUGACGCUUAAGCUCGAAGGUGCGGGUAUCGAACAGG